This is a long non-coding RNA of Nerophis lumbriciformis (worm pipefish), 385 nucleotides long. RefSeq lists it as uncharacterized. Lineage: Eukaryota; Metazoa; Chordata; Actinopteri; Syngnathiformes; Syngnathidae. The record is from RefSeq and is a predicted model, not a curated record.
CCUCACUCCAGAAAGUGAACAUGUGUGCUAAUUAAUGGACUCAAAUGUUUUUUUUUUGUUUUGCUGUGUGGUUUUUCUUGUUCAAACAACGCUUAAAAGACUCCCUCUUCACAAGUGUAUAAGCUCAGGAAAUAAAGCAUCCCCUGUCGGCGAACAUGCCAGUGUUUUGGAAAACUACUGACUCUAGUGGGAGGAAGUAAGUGGAAGAAGAGCAGCACCAACUCGCUCCUCAUCAUCUAUUUUCUCUCCUCCAUCUCUAUUUUUUCAAGUAUUGGAAGCCAGCGGAAGGCCAUGUCUGGAUCCUGAAAUAGGCAGACAGGGUCACAAGGUGAUGGGCGGAGGGGACUUCAGGACGAAAAGGGAAUUCCCGAACUUUUACCGGUGA